UACCUUAAAACUAAUGAACUG
This 21-nucleotide non-coding RNA is filed under the name Caenorhabditis elegans. The record is from RNAcentral. Lineage: Eukaryota; Metazoa; Nematoda; Chromadorea; Rhabditida; Rhabditidae.